GAUGAACGCUGGCGGCGUGCCUAAUACAUGCAAGUCGAGCGAACGGACGAGAAGCUUGCUUUUCUGAUGUUAGCGGCGGACGGGUGAGUAACACGUGGAUAACCUACCUAUAAGACUGGGAUAACUUCGGGAAACCGGAGCUAAUACCGGAUAAUAUUUUGAACCGCAUGGUUCAAAAGUGAAAGACGGUCUUGCUGUCACUUAUAGAUGGAUCCGCGCUGCAUUAGCUAGUUGGUAAGGUAACGGCUUACCAAGGCAACGAUGCAUAGCCGACCUGAGAGGGUGAUCGGCCACACUGGAACUGAGACACGGUCCAGACUCCUACGGGAGGCAGCAGUAGGGAAUCUUCCGCAAUGGGCGAAAGCCUGACGGAGCAACGCCGCGUGAGUGAUGAAGGUCUUCGGAUCGUAAAACUCUGUUAUUAGGGAAGAACAUAUGUGUAAGUAACUGUGCACAUCUUGACGGUACCUAAUCAGAAAGCCACGGCUAAUUACGUG
This 497-nucleotide ribosomal RNA is filed under the name uncultured bacterium. RNAcentral describes it as "partial 16S ribosomal RNA". It matches the Rfam family "Bacterial small subunit ribosomal RNA", at positions 28 to 507 of the family's 1533-position model. The record is from RNAcentral.